This 468-nucleotide ribosomal RNA is filed under the name uncultured bacterium. RNAcentral's name for it is "partial 16S ribosomal RNA". It matches the Rfam family "Bacterial small subunit ribosomal RNA", at positions 28 to 507 of the family's 1533-position model. The record is from RNAcentral.
GACGAACGCUGGCGGCGUGCUUAACACAUGCAAGUCGAACGGAAAGGCCCUGCUUUUGUGGGGUGCUUGAGUGGCGAACGGGUGAGUAACACGCGAGUAACCUGCCCUUGACUUUGGGAUAACUUCAGGAAACUGGGGCUAAUACCGGAUAGGAGCUCCUGCUGCAUGGUGGGGGUUGGAGAGAUUCGGCGGUUGGGGAUGGACUCGCGGCUUAUCAGCUUGUUGGUGGGGUAGUGGCUUACCAAGGCUUUGACGGGUAGCCGGCCUGAGAGGGUGACCGGCCACAUUGGGACUGAGGUACGGGCCAGACUCCUACGGGAGGCAGCAGUGGGGAUUAUUGCACAAUGGGCGGAGGCCUGAUGCAGCAACGCCGCGUGCGGGAUGACGGCCUUCGGGUUGUAAACCGCUUUCGCCUGUGACGAAGCGUGAGUGACGGUAAUGGGUAAAGAAGCACCGGCUAACUACGUG